GAUGAACGCUGGCGGCGUGCCUAAUACAUGCAAGUCGAGCGAACAGAUGAGGAGCUUGCUCCUCUGACGUUAGCGGCGGACGGGUGAGUAACACGUGGAUAACCUACCUAUAAGACUGGGAUAACUUCGGGAAACCGGAGCUAAUACCGGAUAAUAUAUUGAACCGCAUGGUUCAAUAGUGAAAGACGGUUUUGCCGUCACUUAUAGAUGGAUCCGCGCCGCAUUAGCUAGUUGGUAAGGUAACGGCUUACCAAGGCAACGAUGCGUAGCCGACCUGAGAGGGUGAUCGGCCACACUGGAACUGAGACACGGUCCAGACUCCUACGGGAGGCAGCAGUAGGGAAUCUUCCGCAAUGGGCGAAAGCCUGACGGAGCAACGCCGCGUGAGUGAUGAAGGUCUUCGGAUCGUAAAACUCUGUUAUUAGGAAAGAACAAAUGUGUAAGUAACUAUGCACGUCUUGACGGUACCUAAUCAGAAAGCCACGGCUAACUACGUG
Molecule: ribosomal RNA, 497 nt
Filed under: uncultured bacterium
Lineage: Bacteria
Description: partial 16S ribosomal RNA
Rfam family: Bacterial small subunit ribosomal RNA
Source: RNAcentral